UACGUAGGGAGCAAGCGUUGUUCGGAUUUACUGGGCGUAAAGGGCGCGUAGGCGGCAAUUCAAGUCAUCUGUGAAAUCUCCGGGCUUAACUCGGAACGGUCAGAUGAUACUGCUUUGCUAGAGUGCAGAAGGGGCAAUCGGAAUUCUCGGUGUAGCGGUGAAAUGCGUAGAUAUCGAGAGGAACACCAGAGGUGAAGACGGGUUGCUGGGCUGACACUGACGCUGAGGCGCGAAAGCAUGGGGAGCAAACAGG
This 253-nucleotide ribosomal RNA is filed under the name uncultured bacterium. RNAcentral's name for it is "partial 16S ribosomal RNA". It matches the Rfam family "Bacterial small subunit ribosomal RNA", at positions 524 to 776 of the family's 1533-position model. The record is from RNAcentral.